This 376-nucleotide unclassified non-coding RNA is filed under the name uncultured bacterium. RNAcentral's name for it is "contains 16S-23S intergenic spacer region". The record is from RNAcentral.
UCCGGAGUUUCUCCGGCAGUCCCCCAUGAGUGCUCGGCACUACCCGCUGGCAACAUAGGGCAAGGGUUGCGCUCGUUGCGGGACUUAACCCAACAUCUCACGACACGAGCUGACGACAGCCAUGCAGCACCUGUGCACGUGUCCCGAAGGAGGGCCCCUGUUUCCAGGGGCUUUCACGUGCAUGUCAAGCCCAGGUAAGGUUCUUCGCGUUGCAUCGAAUUAAGCCACAUGCUCCACCGCCUGUGCGGGCCCCCGUCAAUUCCUUUGAGUUUCAUUCUUGCGAACGUACUCCCCAGGUGGCAUGCUUACUGCGUUAACUGCGACACUGCCCCCGAGGGGGCAACAUCUAGCAUGCAUCGUUUACGGCGUGGACUAC